This 771-nucleotide ribosomal RNA is filed under the name Salmonella enterica. RNAcentral's name for it is "partial 23S ribosomal RNA". It matches the Rfam family "Bacterial large subunit ribosomal RNA", at positions 418 to 1190 of the family's 2925-position model. The record is from RNAcentral. RNAcentral also lists the same sequence under 1 other name. Lineage: Bacteria; Pseudomonadati; Pseudomonadota; Gammaproteobacteria; Enterobacterales; Enterobacteriaceae.
CGGGACACGUGAUAUCCUGUCUGAAUAUGGGGGGACCAUCCUCCAAGGCUAAAUACUCCUGACUGACCGAUAGUGAACCAGUACCGUGAGGGAAAGGCGAAAAGAACCCCGGCGAGGGGAGUGAAAAAGAACCUGAAACCGUGUACGUACAAGCAGUGGGAGCACCCUUCGGGGUGUGACUGCGUACCUUUUGUAUAAUGGGUCAGCGACUUAUAUUCUGUAGCAAGGUUAACCGAAUAGGGGAGCCGGAGGGAAACCGAGUCUUAACCGGGCGUUAAGUUGCAGGGUAUAGACCCGAAACCCGGUGAUCUAGCCAUGGGCAGGUUGAAGGUUGGGUAACACUAACUGGAGGACCGAACCGACUAAUGUUGAAAAAUUAGCGGAUGACCUGUGGCUGGGGGUGAAAGGCCAAUCAAACCGGGAGAUAGCUGGUUCUCCCCGAAAGCUAUUUAGGUAGCGCCUCGUGAAUUCAUCUCCGGGGGUAGAGCACUGUUUCGGCUAGGGGGCCAUCCCGGCUUACCAACCCGAUGCAAACUGCGAAUACCGGAGAAUGUUAUCACGGGAGACACACGGCGGGUGCUAACGUCCGUCGUGAAGAGGGAAACAACCCAGACCGCCAGCUAAGGUCCCAAAGUCAUGGUUAAGUGGGAAACGAUGUGGGAAGGCCCAGACAGCCAGGAUGUUGGCUUAGAAGCAGCCAUCAUUUAAAGAAAGCGUAAUAGCUCACUGGUCGAGUCGGCCUGCGCGGAAGAUGUAACGGGGCUAAACCAU